CGGGGUGAGUAAUGUCUGGGAAACUGCCUGAUGGAGGGGGAUAACUGCUGGAAACGGUAGCUAAUACCGCAUAACGUCGCAAGACCAAAGAGGGGGACCUUCGGGCCUCUUGCUAUCGGAUGUGCCCAGAUGGGAUUAGCUAGUAGGUGGGGUAACGGCUCACCUAGGCGACGAUCCCUAGCUGGUCUGAGAGGAUGACCAGCCACACUGGAACUGAGACACGGUCCAG
RNAcentral lists this ribosomal RNA (229 nucleotides) under uncultured bacterium. RNAcentral's name for it is "partial 16S ribosomal RNA". It matches the Rfam family "Bacterial small subunit ribosomal RNA", at positions 104 to 334 of the family's 1533-position model. The record is from RNAcentral.